CGCCCAAUAGCUAGCCCACCCAUCAACCCCAAUCCCACCCUAUCUAUACCCCCAAACACACCACUACCCAACAAACAAACCAUUUUUCCACCUAAGUACGGGCGACGAAUAAGGAUUUAGGAGCAACAGAGAAAGUACCGCAAGGGAAAGCUGAAAGAGAACUGAAACAACCCAAUAAAGCACUAAAAAGCAUAGACCACCCCUCGUACCUUUUGCAUCAUGAUUUAGCCAGAAAACCUUAAGCAAAAAGCAUUAUAGUUUAAUACCCCGAAACUAAGCGAGCUACUCCAAGACAGUCUAAUUUAUAGGACCACCCCCGUCUCUGUGGCAAAAGAGUGGGAAGAGCUUUGAGUAGAGGUGACAGACCUACCGAGCCUAGUUAUAGCUGGUUGCCUGAGAACUGAAUAGAAGUUCAGCCCUUUAAAUUCUUCAUUCCCAUUGGCCCAAGGCCUCCAUACCGAACAAAAGAAGCUAAAGGAGUUAGUCAAAGGGGGUACAGCCCCUUCGAAACAAGAUACAACUUUCCAAGGAGGGUAAAGAUCACAACAAACCUAAAGGUCUAAUGUCCUAGUGGGCCUAAAAGCAGCCACCUACCUAGAAAGCGUUAAAGCUCGAACAUUUCAUACAUACUCAACCUUUUAAUAAGGACAACACAAUCUUACCCCCCUAAACUCUACCAGGCCAUUCCAUAAAAAUUAUGGAAGCGUUUAUGCUAAUAUGAGUAAUAAGAGAAGUCCCCUUCUCUCCCCGCACAAGUGUAACUCGGAACGAACCAUUCACCGACCAUUAACGGCCCCAAAAUAAAGAGGGAACUAGACAAAAAAUAAACAACUAGAAAACCACCUAGCCCCCCACCGUUUACCCCACACUGGUGUGCCAACUGGGAAAGACUAAAAGAAAAAGAAGGAACUCGGCAAACACAAGCCUCGCCUGUUUACCAAAAACAUCGCCUCUUGUACCCCCAGACAUAAGAGGUCCCGCCUGCCCUGUGACUAUAAGUUUAACGGCCGCGGUAUUUUGACCGUGCAAAGGUAGCGCAAUCACUUGUCUUUUAAAUGAAGACCUGUAUGAAUGGCAUAACGAGGGCUUAACUGUCUCCUUUUUCCAGUCAAUGAAAUUGAUCUCCCCGUGCAGAAGCGGGGAUACAAACAUAAGACGAGAAGACCCUAUGGAGCUUCAGACGCCAGAACAGACCAUGUUAAGCACUCCUGAAAUAAAGGAUAAAACUGAUUGGCCCCUGUCCUAAUGUCUUUGGUUGGGGCGACCGCGGGGAAACAAAAAACCCCCAUGUGGACCGGGAGCACACUACUCCUACAACCCAGAGUUACAACUCCAAGCAACAGAAUUUCUGACCAAUUAGAUCCGGCACCUGGCCGAUCAACGGACCGAGUUACCCUAGGGAUAACAGCGCAAUCCUCUUUUAGAGCCCAUAUCGACAAGAGGGCUUACGACCUCGAUGUUGGAUCAGGACAUCCUAAUGGUGCAGCCGCUAUUAAGGGUUCGUUUGUUCAACGAUUAAAGUCCUACGUGAUCUGAGUUCAGACCGGAGUAAUCCAGGUCAGUUUCUAUCUAUGUUACGAUCUUUUCUAGUACGAAAGGACCGAAAAGAAGGGGCCCCUGUUCUCAACACGCCCCACCCUCACCUAUUGAAACCAACUAAAAUAGGUAAAAGGGCGUAUCCCCCAACCCAAGAAAAUGGCUU
This 1702-nucleotide ribosomal RNA is filed under the name Oreochromis tanganicae. RNAcentral's name for it is "16S ribosomal RNA". The stretch from base 96 to 1595 matches the Rfam family "Bacterial large subunit ribosomal RNA". The record is from RNAcentral. Lineage: Eukaryota; Metazoa; Chordata; Actinopteri; Cichliformes; Cichlidae.